UUGUUAUCUUCGUCUGUAUAAAAUGGAGUGGGAAUAUUCCGUUGCCUUCGGACUCAUGCGUCUGGAAAAGACGAGCAAGUAUCGCAGGCGAAAGGUACUUGGCUCGCUAAGACCUGAGAAAGUUAUAUUGCCGACAUAUAUUUUUUCUCAGGGAGAAAGUUCUGAGAAUGCAAUACUUCAGAGGAGAGUACAACGUGGGACGAGUAAUUGAAGGUUCCUGGAUUAUCGGAAUGUUUCAGAGGGAAACAAAAGAAUUUCGACUCGAAAUAUGGCCAGAGAACAAACGAUCUGCAGAUACUCUAAUACCACUGAUUAAGGAAUACGUUGCGGAAGGUACCACCAUAAAAACUGAUGAAUGAAGGGCGUAUUCAUCAUUAUCCAGGCACGGAUAUUAUGUGCACUAGACUAUGAACCACACAAGGAAUUUUGUGAAUCCGGUGACUGGUGGACAUACCCAGUGCAUAGAAUUCAACUGGCGACUGCUGAAAGCCAAACUCCAAGAAAGCGGUCUCCAUAAAGAAAACCUUGCUGAUCAUCUACUGUAUUUAUUUCGGCGUGAAGUGAAACGCAGUGGUUAGGAUAUAUUCUUGGAAAAUUUAGAUGCGGUCAAAGACUGUUUCCCGAUUGGAAGUGAGAUAUUGUACUUUGCAACAAGGUGUAGUGGGGGCAGGUUGGUUAUACCGAGAACAUGGAACAUGGAUGCAUUAUGAUCUUUUUUCUUGAAAUUUGAUGGGUCUGUAUUUGCAUUAUGUGAAGAUGAAAUGGUGCAAGCAGAAGAUGAUAAAAUGUUUGGAAAUGCAAGAAUUUUUAUGUGAUGUUUUAACACUAUUUGAGUGUGGAAAUUUUUCUGUAAUGGCUUGUUAAGAUGCAAGAAAAUAUUCAGGAAGUGAAGAGAGUAAAUUUUGAUAGAGCUUUUGAUGAAUCAUUAGGCAUGACUUAGGCUGUUAGAGGGCAGUGACAUCGAAAAUACCAUGAUACCACUGUAAUGAAGCUGGUAUUAAAAUUUGCAAAUACAAGCAGUGUUGUGAGAGUGCAGCAUGAGUUCAAAUGAAACUUUGUUAUUGAUCCACCCACAUACAAAUCUAUUUUGAAGUAAUAUAGCAUUUAAUGAGACAGUGUGCUUUGUGAUUAAUAUUCUGGCCAACUUUCCAUCUCAGAAAAAAUUGUGGAGCCAGUGUACACAGCCCAAAGAAGCCAACAUAUAAAGCCAGCAGAGAGUUACAGGUGCCACAAACAACAGUGUGCAAGCUGUUAAGUAAACGUUGAGGUUUCACCUGUGCCAACUGCAAUUGGUUCAUAAGUUAAACCAAUACCUUCUUAAAAUUUAUUAUUCGUAACUCGAGGCAUUCUCCAUGAAUUAGAAAAAUACGCUUCUCAAUAUAAAAAGAAAAUAAUUCAGUUUUUAUUUGAGAAGCUAUCAUUGCUCUUUUUGCAUAAAAAUAAUAAGACAUAUAGUUUGAUCUGUUAAUAAAGUUUGAUGCAACAGUUGUACAAGUAUAUGAAGCAUGGGUUCACUCUCUUUCACUAAUUUUAAAGUCUACCAUUCAUGGUGAAAUUACGAUAAGUCAGACUGAAUGUGAACAAAAAGAUGGAUGUUGACAUAGAAGAACCAGAAGUAUCUGGAUUCAAACUUAUUUUUAAGUGUAUAAGACAUUGCAAAUAUUAAAGCUACUCCACUGACGUAUAUAGUGUGUUAUUGUGUACAUUCUGUGAUGAAAAAAUUAGAUUGUACAUUUUGUAAAAAUCAUUUGUUAGUAUCAAAAGAAUUUGAUUUCAUGUGAACUGCUAAAAUGUUUAGACUAUGGGAGGCUGAAAUAUCGCAUGAUGAAGUUAUCACUAUUAUUAUAUCUAAUUACAUUCUCAUAUAUAUUAUCUUUUGAAAAUAAAUCUAUUGUUUUGAAAUGUAAAAA
RNAcentral lists this long non-coding RNA (1910 nucleotides) under Stegodyphus dumicola. RNAcentral describes it as "uncharacterized LOC118183621". The record is from RNAcentral. Lineage: Eukaryota; Metazoa; Arthropoda; Arachnida; Araneae; Eresidae.